This 73-nucleotide transfer RNA is filed under the name Marmota monax (woodchuck). Its description in RNAcentral is "tRNA.Ala". The record is from RNAcentral. Lineage: Eukaryota; Metazoa; Chordata; Mammalia; Rodentia; Sciuridae.
GUGCUCACCUAGCUCAGUGGUAGAGUGCUCACCUAGCAUGGGUGAGGCACUGGGUUCAAUCCUCAGCACCACA